AAGUCGUAACAAGGUAACCGUAGGUGAACCUGCGGUUGGAUCAUUACCAAAUAUCCAUGGGAGCUUCGGCUCCCUACCCACCCAACCUGUGCAAUGUACUGUCUUUGGCGGGCUGACCCUCUCUCCUAUUGCCCCCCCUCACCGGGGUGUGAUGGGGGGGAGUGUGCCACUUGCGGGACGGGCGCCAAGUCGCGCCCCUCCGACCGUCAAUACCUUACUAUACACGACCCUACUCUACUACGCACCUGACGUUUAAUUAUGCGCGGGCUGGCGCUUGCCGGCUCUGUGCGAUAACAUAAUCAAACAACAACUUUUGACAACGGAUCUCUUGGCUCUC
RNAcentral lists this unclassified non-coding RNA (337 nucleotides) under fungal sp. RNAcentral's name for it is "partial internal transcribed spacer region". The stretch from base 1 to 46 matches the Rfam family "Eukaryotic small subunit ribosomal RNA", at positions 1786 to 1831 of the family's 1831-position model. The record is from RNAcentral. Lineage: Eukaryota; Fungi.